Panicum virgatum (switchgrass) is the source of this 3881-nucleotide long non-coding RNA. RefSeq lists it as uncharacterized. NCBI's taxonomy places the organism in Eukaryota, Viridiplantae, Streptophyta, Magnoliopsida, Poales, Poaceae. The transcript is spliced from 2 exons. The record is from RefSeq and is a predicted model, not a curated record.
ACGCUCACUCUCCAACUAUGGGCAUGCCAACGAAUUUUAGGUAGUUAGGGUGUAGUUUCAAGUUGCAAUUCCUUAGGAAUUAACUGUUGGCCAGUAUUUAUCCUGCAUUCACUUCUAAGAUUGUCUCAAGAUAAUUUUCUAUCUUAGAAUUGCUAAUGACAUUUAUGCUGUCUUAUCAGCCAUCCUGACUGCAAGCUGGUUGUUACUCAUGAUGACUAUAGCUUCUAUGUCUAUUAGCACUCCCGAUGCCCCCGAACUUGACAAUGCGAGCCCUUAGGGUGCAUCAAAAUGCGAAAUGCCUGCUUGACUAGGGGGAACAAAUUAAAGAGCUCGACAUCUCUGAAACCAAGCCCACCCCCCCCCCCCCCCCCCCCCAAAAAAUUCUGGUUUGAUUAUAGCAUUCCAGGCCACCUAGCCCGUUCUCCUCUUCCCUUUACUUUCCCACCAGAAACGACGGAGCUGACAUUGAUAUGUUCACAUAGCCCCAUGGUAGCUUGAAAUAGGACAUUGAAUAGGUCAUCACAGAUUAUAUGUGAGUGGUUUGAAUGUUAACACUUAACCGGGUUGUGUGGUUUGGAUUUUGCUUCAAUCCUUAUUUAGUCUGGUGGAAAUGGUUGCUCUAGCUAUUAGUUCAAUUUGGUUUGGUUUUAGAAGCAAAUAAAUUGGCUUGAUUUGGUUUGGUUGUUCCUACGUUGAAAUUGAGCAAACCCAUGGCGGAGGAUAACGCGCGUGCUGGGCACCAUUGGUCUGCUACUGUCCGUUUUUUUUUUUUUUGAAGCAAGACUGUGGGGGAGAUCCCCACAGCAGAAAAACUCAUUUUAUAUAAACAAAGGGAACAAGGUUCUUACACAGGAGAGUUAACUGAAAGCAUCUAACCAAAAGCAAAAGGCCGAUCGAAGAUCUGCCUUGAAUCUAACAACUGUAAGUGGCAUUGGGACAAAAAAUUUUGGAACCAUCUUUCUUGGCUUUGUUCUCGUCUAUCGAAGAUCUUGUCAUUUCUCAUUUUCCAAAGCUCCCAGGCAGCAAUCAUCGAGGCCUCCAUGAAGAACUGCAUGUUGUGGGUAUUUCUGGCUUGAACAAUUCUAUCGCCUAGGUUCAGUGUGUUGUCCCAGGUGAAGCCAAGUCUGUUCCAACACUGAGUUGCAAAUGGGCAGGUGAAGAAGAGAUGGUCGAUUGUUUCCUCUUCAUCUGAGUCACAAAGCACACAGAGGUUGUCCUCAUGCACAUGAAUAUGCCUUCUUGUGAGCAUUGUUUUCGUAUUCAGUCUGUCCACUAGCAAGAGCCAAAUGAAGAACUUUAUUCUUGCGGUGCAGGAUGAUUUCCAGAUGAUCUUGUAGAUUGGAUCUGCUUCAAUGACUUGGUAGGCAUGGGUAUAAAAUUUCUUGGAGGUGUAAUCGCCUCCCCAGAUUGUAUGCCAGGUGUCUAUCGCAUCUGCAUCAAAAGGGAUGCUUCCAACUGCCAGCUCAAGUUGCAUUAGUUCCUCUAGGGCUUCCUCAGAUAAAGGUAAAAUGAAUAUUGAGUCUAGGUCCCCAGCAUCAACAACAUCUCAUACUGAGAAAGUCUCCAACUUAGAGAAGGAAGCGAUUCUGGGGAACAUAGUAGCAAGUGUUUCCCCAGCCCAUUGAUCCUCCCAGAAAUAGAUCGAAGUGCCAUUGCCAACCUUGCAGCGAGCAAUAGCACGAUAUAAGCCAUGUAGGCGAAGGAUGUCCUUCCACCAGAAGGAGCCCAUUUCUCUUGCUGCAUGCGGGACUUUAUUUUGAAAGUACUUGAACCAGAUGAGCUGCACCCAGGGAAUUUCCAUUCGGUUGUAGAAUUUGUGUAGCUGUUUCAUGAGAAGCACAUCAUUUUGCAGACGGAGAUUGAUCACCCCAAGGCCUCCUUUAUCCUUCGGCAUUUGCAUUGUUUCCCAGGCGACAAGGUUCCCACCUUUCUUCUUUUCUGAAUUCCCUCUCCAGAGACACUGCUUUCGGAUCCUGUCAAUGUUUUCAAUGGCGCCUCAUGGUAGUUUGAUUGUACACAUUAGGUACGUGACUAUUGGAGUGAUGGCCGUGUUGAUCAUUUGUAGUCUCCCCGAGCAGGAAAGCCAGGUUGCGCAGCCAGACAGCCUACGCUCCACUCUGUCCAUGAUGGGUGUGAGGUCUUCCAUUUUGGGUUUUGUGGUGCCCAUUGGUAAACCAAGGUAUGUGAAGGGUAAUGUGCCUACUGAACAUCCAAAAGUUUGGGCAAGAUGGUUCAUCUUUUCAGCUGAGGUGUUGAUUGGCAACAUUUGUGAUUUUCUAUAGUUGACUUUUAGGCCCGUAGAGUCUGCAAAGGAAUUGUGGACAGAUUUGAGAAAGAAGAGUUGCUUUUGCAUCUGCCUGCAUAAUUAGCAAAGUGUCAUCUGCGUAUUGUACAAUUGGGUAAUCUUCUGUGGGCUGAGGGAUCGAGGCCGUCAGAAGGCCCAUGGAAGCUGCUUUGUUGAUUAUAAUUUGUAGGAGAUCUGCUGCUAGCACAAAUAGGAGGGGUGAUAAUGGGUCACCCUGUCUCACCCCUCUCUUGCAUUGGAAGAAUUUCCCUGGGACACUGAUCAUGAAGACUGCAGAGGACCCACUGGUUAACAUGGCCGAGAUCCAAUCUAGCCACUCUGGUGGGAAACCCAUAUGUUCAGGAUUGUCCAUGUUUAAUUGUGUCAAAAGCUUUCUCAAAGUCUAACUUCAGAAUUAUGGCUUCCUUUUUGAAAUGAUGGCAUUGAUGAAUAUAUUCAAAACACCAAGCAAGGCAAUCAUGUAUGCUUUUGGAUUUGAUGAAACCAUAUUGGUUCUGGUGGAUCAAGCUGAUGGCGAUCCGCAAAAAAUGGCGAACGACGAAACCAUGAGGGGGUUCAAAUGGAGACAAAAACGGCGAUGGUUGAAACUGCAAGGGAGCCGCUGCAGCACCUAACACAACCGGAUCGAAGAGAAAUGUCACCGCCGCCGCUGUCACGUCGUGCCCGACCAAAUGACAAAAUCAAUCAGAGAAGGAGCCGCCGGCUAUUGGACUUGAGUCGAUCCAUGAAAAAGCGGUGAAGAAACAGGAGGGGCAAUGGACAGAGGGGAGGAAGCCAUGUGGGGGUGACUGGCGUCUGUUGCGCCUGCGACCUGGGCACCGAGUUUGGUCUUGGACCGGGCCUCAUUAGGGUACGAAUAGGGCCGGGCCCAAACAAUACCCACUUGGAAAAAAAUUAAAUUAAAUGUUAGGUGCUUUAAUAUUUGUGCAAAUUUUAUGAAAGGGACCACCGGAGCAAAACUCUUUUGAGAAACUGCUGACUUUUUGGUUUGAAAUUGCAGGAAGGUUGGUUUGAUCCGGUUGCGACCUGCAGUGGCGUGAUUUGAAGUGGUUUGAUUUGACGUGUUUAAGGAAAAGGAGUACCUAAACAUCACUCGAAGAGCAAGAAUGCUACAUGCGGGCCGAUAGCGACGGCCACUACUGAUGAUUUUCGCCAGCAGCCAUCGACCUGGCCGAGAGCACAUGUUGGCCCACAACUACGACAUGUGUGGAUGUGGAAAUGUUUCUUUACUGAACCUGUUCAACUAGCUAGACACUUUUUGUGCGGAUGAGAUUUUUUUUUUAGUUGGAUUAGAAAAGUUAGAAUGUUUUGUAUUUUUCAUUGAUCCGUGGGUGGUUAUUCAAAUCACUUAUAUUUUUCUUUGUUGGAUCCAAAAAUUCAAAUUGUUUUUAUGAAAUUCAUAUAUUUUGUUCUAAGUCUAAGAUAACCUUUAAUUUAUUUUGGUUGUGUUUAUUUGUUGUAUUUUUUAUGCAGGGUGUAAUUUUUUUUACUCUGAUGAAAUUAGUGGAAGAGUCUGUAUUGUUUUGUAAAACAAAAGUAUAUGUGAGGUGAAAUGCAACGGCAAGAUUUUACUGUC